Molecule: long non-coding RNA, 109 nt
Filed under: Dromaius novaehollandiae (emu)
Lineage: Eukaryota; Metazoa; Chordata; Aves; Casuariiformes; Dromaiidae
Description: lncRNA (ENSDNVG00000002016.1)
Source: RNAcentral
CAACUCUGGACUUGAGAACAGAAUUACAGUGAAUCUAAGCUCAGCAGAACAUCUCUCAGCUUCAUUAGUGGCAGGACUCAGUAUUUGCUUUGUGCUCCUUAUUAUUGUC